AAAUUGAAGAGUUUGAUCAUGGCUCAGAUUGAACGCUGGCGGCAGGCCUAACACAUGCAAGUCGAACGGUAACAGGAAGCAGCUUGCUGCUUUGCUGACGAGUGGCGGACGGGUGAGUAAUGUCUGGGAAACUGCCUGAUGGAGGGGGAUAACUACUGGAAACGGUGGCUAAUACCGCAUAACGUCGCAAGACCAAAGAGGGGGACCUUCGGGCCUCUUGCCAUCAGAUGUGCCCAGAUGGGAUUAGCUAGUUGGUGAGGUAACGGCUCACCAAGGCGACGAUCCCUAGCUGGUCUGAGAGGAUGACCAGCCACACUGGAACUGAGACACGGUCCAGACUCCUACGGGAGGCAGCAGUGGGGAAUAUUGCACAAUGGGCGCAAGCCUGAUGCAGCCAUGCCGCGUGUAUGAAGAAGGCCUUAGGGUUGUAAAGUACUUUCAGCGGGGAGGAAGGUGUUGUGGUUAAUAACCGCAGCAAUUGACGUUACCCGCAGAAGAAGCACCGGCUAACUCCGUGCCAGCAGCCGCGGUAAUACGGAGGGUGCAAGCGUUAAUCGGAAUUACUGGGCGUAAAGCGCACGCAGGCGGUCUGUCAAGUCGGAUGUGAAAUCCCCGGGCUCAACCUGGGAACUGCAUUCGAAACUGGCAGGCUUGAGUCUUGUAGAGGGGGGUAGAAUUCCAGGUGUAGCGGUGAAAUGCGUAGAGAUCUGGAGGAAUACCGGUGGCGAAGGCGGCCCCCUGGACAAAGACUGACGCUCAGGUGCGAAAGCGUGGGGAGCAAACAGGAUUAGAUACCCUGGUAGUCCACGCCGUAAACGAUGUCUACUUGGAGGUUGUGCCCUUGAGGCGUGGCUUCCGGAGCUAACGCGUUAAGUAGACCGCCUGGGGAGUACGGCCGCAAGGUUAAAACUCAAAUGAAUUGACGGGGGCCCGCACAAGCGGUGGAGCAUGUGGUUUAAUUCGAUGCAACGCGAAGAACCUUACCUGGUCUUGACAUCCACAGAACUUUCCAGAGAUGGAUUGGUGCCUUCGGGAACUGUGAGACAGGUGCUGCAUGGCUGUCGUCAGCUCGUGUUGUGAAAUGUUGGGUUAAGUCCCGCAACGAGCGCAACCCUUAUCCUUUGUUGCCAGCGAUUAGGUCGGGAACUCAAAGGAGACUGCCAGUGAUAAACUGGAGGAAGGUGGGGAUGACGUCAAGUCAUCAUGGCCCUUACGACCAGGGCUACACACGUGCUACAAUGGCGCAUACAAAGAGAAGCGACCUCGCGAGAGCAAGCGGACCUCAUAAAGUGCGUCGUAGUCCGGAUUGGAGUCUGCAACUCGACUCCAUGAAGUCGGAAUCGCUAGUAAUCGUGGAUCAGAAUGCCACGGUGAAUACGUUCCCGGGCCUUGUACACACCGCCCGUCACACCAUGGGAGUGGGUUGCAAAAGAAGUAGGUAGCUUAACCUUCGGGAGGGCGCUUACCACUUUGUGAUUCAUGACUGGGGUGAAGUCGUAACAAGGUAACCGUAGGGGAACCUGCGGUUGGAUCACCUCCUUACCUUAAAGAA
This 1552-nucleotide ribosomal RNA is filed under the name Salmonella enterica subsp. enterica serovar Thompson. Its description in RNAcentral is "bacterial SSU rRNA". It matches the Rfam family "Bacterial small subunit ribosomal RNA". Lineage: Bacteria; Pseudomonadati; Pseudomonadota; Gammaproteobacteria; Enterobacterales; Enterobacteriaceae. RNAcentral also lists the same sequence under 1 other name. The record is from RNAcentral.